Molecule: ribosomal RNA, 324 nt
Filed under: uncultured eukaryote
Lineage: Eukaryota
Description: partial 18S ribosomal RNA
Rfam family: Eukaryotic small subunit ribosomal RNA
Source: RNAcentral
CCCUUAGAUGUCCUGGGCUGCACGCGCGCUACACUGAUGUGUUCAAUAAGCACCUAACCUACUCCGAAGGGACUGGGUAACCUUUGCAAAGCACAUCGUGAUGGGGAUAGAUUAUUGCAAUUAUUAGUCUUGAACGAGGAAUUCCUAGUAAGCACAAGUCAUCAGCUUGUGUUGAUUACGUCCCUGCCCUUUGUACACACCGCCCGUCGCUCCUACCGAUUGAAUGUUCCGGUGAGCUCUUCGGACUGCGCGGUCUGCAGUUUCUGCGUUCCGUGCGGAAAGUUGCGCAAACCUUAACAUUUAGAGGAAGGAGAAGUCGUAACA